AGAGUUUGAUCCUGGCUCAGAACGAACGCUGGCGGCAUGCCUAACACAUGCAAGUCGAACGAUAAGCCACUUCGGUGGUGGACAGUGGCGCACGGGUGAGUAACACGUGGGGACCUGCCUGAUAGUAGGGAAAAACAGUUGGAAACGACUGCUAAUACCUUAUACGCCCUUCGGGGGAAAGAUUUAUCGCUAUCAGAUGGACCCGCGCUAGAUUAGAUAGUUGGUGAGGUAAUGGCUCACCAAGUCUGCGAUCUAUAGCUGGUUUGAGAAGAUGAUCAGCCACAUUGGGACUGAGACACGGCCCAGACCCCUACGGGAGGCAGCAGUGGGGAAUAUUGUACAAUGGGCGCAAGCCUGAUACAGCAAUGCCGCGUGAGUGAAGAAGGCCUUAGGGUUGUAAAACUCUUUCGCUAGGGAAGAUAAUGACGGUACCUAGUAAAGAAGUCCCGGCUAACUCCGUGCCAGCAGCCGCGGUAAUACGGAGGGGACUAGCGUUGUUCGGAAUUACUGGGCGUAAAGAGUUCGUAGGCGGAUAAGCAAGUAAGAGGUGAAAGCCCGGGGCUCAACCCUGGAACUGCCUUUUAAACUGCUUGUCUAGAGACCGAUAGAGGUUAGGGGAAUACCUAGUGUAGAGGUGAAAUUCGUAGAUAUUAGGUGGAACACCAGUGGCGAAGGCGCCUGACUGGAUCGGUACUGACGCUGAGGAACGAAAGCGUGGGGAGCAAACAGGAUUAGAUACCCUGGUAGUCCACGCCGUAAACGAUGAGUGCUAGAUGUUAGAAAGGCUUAGCCUUUUAGUGUCGCAGCUAACGCAUUAAGCACUCCGCCUGGGGAGUACGGUCGCAAGAUUAAAACUCAAAGGAAUUGACGG
Molecule: ribosomal RNA, 871 nt
Filed under: uncultured bacterium
Lineage: Bacteria
Description: bacterial SSU rRNA
Rfam family: Bacterial small subunit ribosomal RNA
Source: RNAcentral